AUUUGAAAUUUAUUUCAUUAGCCUUGAAAGGUAAUGGCAUUAUUUGAAACUAAGCUGCACUAGUUCUGGUUUUACACAGUAAGCAGUUCUAUGAUUACCCAAUUUUAAGAACAAACAUGUUUAGUUUGGGAUGAGAUGGAAGGACAUGAUAUUUAGGUUUCUUCUUCUUCUUUUAUUUGAAGAAAUAACACUAUCUAAUGUUUAUUCCAUCCCAGUGACAGUGACAGAGCAGAAAUAUUAUGAGCCCUUUGAGGGGGAAAAUGAACUUAAGUCCAUCUUCCCGAAGCUUCUGCCACUCAUUUAGUCAUGUUGGUAGCAGGAGGUUUAGCAGAACAUUCAUCUUUUUCUUUCAUUUGUGUAUGAAACACACCUUCCAUCUUAUAUUCACUCCAUAAGACAUUAGCCAUAUUUUAGACAACCAAGCACUUUUAGAAAAAGUUAUAAAAGAGGGGAAAAAACAUGAGAUUUUGCCAGGAAAAAGACAGCUCAAAGUAUGGCAGAUUCUCCCCAACUCCCAAGUGAUGUUCCAUUCUGACUGAUCAAAGACCCAGCUGGUGAACAGAUUUAAAUAAUGAACAAAAUACAUGUGUUCCUUCUUUGAGUAAAUCAGCUCUAGUUACAGAAUGUAUUUGUGUACUUUUCCUUCUAGAAAUUUACUGGUAUUAAUAGGAUUCAUUAGAUUCAAUUAAUAAAUAAAGGAAGCUGGAUUGUAACCAUGGACACUAACGAUCAUUUUGGAAAAUGGAAAAUCAUUAAUUCACAUUGAUUCAAAGCAUUGCUGUAUUCUUCCAAUACAAGUUAUUUGCUUGCAUUGUGCAUAGGUUUAUAAUGAUUUCUGUUUUGUUGUUUAUUCAUUCAGUCUCUUCCAACUCUUUGUGACUACAUGGACCAGCCCACGCCAGACCUCCCUGUCACACGUGACCACCCCCAGCUCCUCCAAGGUCAAGCCAGUCACUUCAAGGAUACCAUCCACCCUUGGUGGAAAAGCAACAGGUGUGCGUGUGAUUCUGAACACAAACAUGGCCACAGAGAAACAGUAAGUAUGUUUACUAUCAGCACACUGCUGCAAUCAAAUCUUUAAUUUUUUCAGGAUGCAUGUGAAAUUUUUGGAAGGUAGCCAUGCCAAUACAGAUUAGCCCUGGUAAUACAUAAUUUAGCUCUGUGUAUGUUCACACUAUCCAAAUUGGAAUGAAAUUAGUGCACCAUACAGAUUAUUUAAAGUUUUGACCUGUUCUCCCUACACAUUUAGUACUUGAACUAUGAAGCAGUCACUAAGGAUUGAUAACAUGUUUUCUAUGUGUAAAGAUGCUUUUGGGUUGUAACUGUCAGUAUAUUACAUCAUUGGUUGUAACAGAUAGACUAGGAGUUACGGUCUGUCACUAGACGGAAGGUAACAGUUGCCCACCCCUGAAAACUGUCCAAUGGCUACACAACAUCAGUGUUUUUGAAAAACAUACUUUAAAUUAUAAUUACAACUACAGUAGAGUCUCACUUAUCCAACACUCGCUUAUCCAACAUUCUGGAUUAUCCAACGCAUUUUUGUAGUCAAUGUUUUCAAUACAUUGUGAUAUUUUGGUGCUAAAUUCGUAAAUACAGUAAUUACUACAUAGCAUUACUGCGUUUUGAACUACUUUUUAUGUCAAAUUUGUUGUUAAACAUGAUGUUGUGGUGCUUAAUUUGUAAAAUCAUAACCUAAUUUGAUGUGUAAUAGGCUUUUCCUUAAUCCCUCCUUAUUAUCCAACAUAUUCACUUAUCCAAUGUUCUGCCGGCCCGUUUAUGUUGAAUAAGUGAGACUCUACUGUAUAUCUCUUUCUCAUACCUCAAAGCUUUACUGCUAUGGCAUGAAAUAUUCAGAAUAGCCUGUGACAUUGCUCUGAAAGUUAUCUUUCUGGACAUAACCAUGAAUCAGAAGGAGGCAAAACCAAAAUAAUUAUUCAAUGCAGGGUUCCAUCAAGUUUCUGAGGAUAAGUAAUUUUGCUGCAUUUGUACAAUGUAUAUCUAGGGAUUUAUAUUCCGCCCUUCUCACCCCGAAGGGGACUCAGGUCGGAUUACAGUAUGGCAAACAUUCAAUGCCAUCAGACAAACAACAUACAGUAUAGACACACACAGAAGCAAUUUUAACAUUUUCCAGCUUCAUGAGGAUAUGCUCGAUUCCAGCCACAGGGGGAGCUGUUGCUUCAUCAUCCAUGAGUGAUACCGGGUGCUGUACUUCCUCAUUCCUUUCCACGUGUUGCUGGCAGUUUUAUGGUGUUGUAAAUUAGUUAAAUUAGCCUCCCACGUAAAGCAUACCUAAAUUUCCUACUUGACAGAUGCAACUGUCUUUUGGGCUACUUAGGUAAACAGCAAGCCGGGCUAUUUAUUGGUCGGGGGCUUAACCCGACCCAGGCUUCGAACUCAUGACCUCUCAGUCAGUAGAGAUUUAUUGCAGCUGGUUACUAGCCAGCUGCGCCACAGCCUGGCCUGGGAUGAAAUAAUUAAUAAUUAAUCAAUCAUUAAUCAUCAGAUCUAAGCUGUACAAAGGGAUGACUUGUGCCAUCAGUCUACAGAAGCAUCCUAAUUUAUUUUAUGGAGUAAAUCCAACUCUAGAGGCUACAGAAAAGGACAUACUAAGAGAUUGCCUAAGAAGCCAUCUGUAUUAAUGAUAAAGGAAGCAUAAAAUAAAAAUCUUGAGAAGAAUUCAUAUAAGAAGCCUAAUGAAGAUUUUUUUUCCAGCACCCCUACUGGUUUACCAUCUCAAUCUAUCUAUUUCAACCAAUAUACUUAUAAAACCACCAGUUUAACAAAAUGGAUUAUGCAAACUGGGUCUAAACCAAGAAUGCUCAGUGACAGAUAUAAAUAUUACUUGCCUGUUCUCACAUAUGUAGGACAUAUUUUAUAACCUUUUAAACAGUUGUUGACUAGCAACAAGUGAUGUAAUGACUGAAAGGCUAUGUAGGAAAGCCACUUGUUGGAUCUCAUCUUAAAAGAUCUAUAUUUGGCUCGUUCAUCAGUUACCAUUGAUUGAGAUCUUGAACAUGUUAUUGGGUGAUCUACCUGCAUUAGCCUCCUCACACCAUGCACAAUUUCAGCCCAGAUAUUAGAGCAUUAGAGUACAACUGAUAUAGCACUCUCUUUCUAAUAUAUACAAACUUAUCUCCCCAACUCCUUCCACUAACCUUUUCUUUCUAAAUGAUCCAGCCCACUCCCUGGUUAUAGGUUGUGCUUUUCCUUAUUGAUCCUGCUAAAUGAAAUAUCUUUGAUUUCAAUGCUGCAAUACCAUUCUCUUGGUUUUCUUGCAAACAUAUGUUAAUACUUAUUAUGAAAGGAAAAGCCAUAUGACUUGUGACAGAAUCCUAAGCUGUUUCUGAUAUUUUAAAUUUAAUUACUCAUUGUCAAUGAAAGCUGUAUGUUUGUUGUUAUUGUUGAUGUAUUUUCAAGUCAUUUCUGACCUAUUUCUCAAGGAAAAACUAGAGCAGGAUUUGUUUAUAAGAGAUUUGUCAUUGCCUUCCUCUGAGACUGAGAAAAUGUGAUUUGUCUAAAGUCAAUCAGUGGGUUUCAUGGCUGAGUGAUGGUUCAAACUCUGAUCUCCAAUGUCAUAGUCCAAAAGAAAACUACAGUACUUGCAAAUUAUAUUUCCAGCUUCUAUGUCUUUAAAUAUUAUUUCUGAACGGAGGCAA
Molecule: long non-coding RNA, 3656 nt
Organism: Anolis carolinensis (green anole)
Lineage: Eukaryota; Metazoa; Chordata; Lepidosauria; Squamata; Anolidae
Exons: 2
Source: RefSeq, a predicted model, not a curated record